RNAcentral lists this ribosomal RNA (117 nucleotides) under Sinocyclocheilus rhinocerous. Lineage: Eukaryota; Metazoa; Chordata; Actinopteri; Cypriniformes; Cyprinidae. The record is from RNAcentral.
UGCCACAGCCAUAUCAACCUGCAGCCCAAGACUGGUUGCCCACUGAAGCUAAGCAGGGUUGAGCCUGGUUAGUACCUGAAUGGGAGACCUCCUGGGAAAACUAGGUUGCUGCUGGAA